CCUUUAACUCCUGAAGCACCCACUUCUGCUCACCUCUCUCACUUCUGGACAUUGAAACACAAGUACUUUAUAUUUCGUAGUGAAGCUACCAUUGCAAUGACUCGAUAAUGAUAACCACUAAGUUAUCAUAGAUAACAAUAAAGGAAAACAAAUAAUUUUUACCAUAAACGCUCUUGGAAAACACUUGCCCAUACUCUUAAAAGAGAAUAAGAACUGAGAGGUAGUAAACUUAAAGCAAGCUUGAAUCUAAAAACAUAAAUGGUAAAUCUCAUAGUCUUUGGAAGAAAAUAAGAGGUACUAAAUGGAAAGUGGAAUUAUUUACCCAAAAAAUUAAAACAAAGAUAUGAAAGACAAAAAUAUAAAGCCAUAGAUGAUGAGGAAAAGCUUGUUAGAAAACAGGGGACCAUCAUUAUUUGGUAGAUCCUCAAUCUUAUCAGUAGCAUCUUCAACUACCCCCAUUGCCCAAAGAUUGUGCAUCCAUAUGAACAAAAAACAAAUACAAGAAAAGAUUACAAUAUCAAAUCUUACCAUCUACAAAUAAACAAGAGGAACGUGUUUAUAGAAAAGAUAGAAAAAAAUUCACCUAUAGUUAUAAAGCAUGAAAAUUGAAUGUUUAAUUCAAAAUGAUUGAAAAAAAGAAAAUUCUCACAGGAUUAUCAAACACUAAUUGAGCUUGCCAGGUAAUUCACAAUACAUUAAGUCAGUAAGAAUAUCCAGUAGACUAAGCAUGGCAUAAUAAAAAGGCAGCUUAAUGGGCAUACAUACUAUAUAAUGAAUCAGUAUGUGAGCUCUCAAUUGAGAAACCAUGUCAUCAUCCCAUCUUUUCUUGUAAUGUGAGCCCUUCCCUAAAAUAAGAAUAACAUACUGAGAAAUUAUUAUCUUAUAGUAAUAUGUCUUUUCUUCGUCCCAAAAUAAGUGUAACUUUAACAAAAAAAUUAUUCUAAAAUAGCAUCACCUUAGAAAUUGAAGACAAUUUUAUAUGUUUCUCAACUUAUAUCCUCAUACUUCAUUUUCUUAAUAAUGUUCAAUCAAUUCUCAUGAUAUAUCUAUUAAAUAGGUAUACUAUAGUAACUAUACAUUAUAUUUAUUAAUUUUUUAAUGAACAUGAUGUUUUCUAAAGUGACACUUAUUUUGAGACGAAGGAAAUCAAUUUAAUGUCUACAAAAUCAUACCAAUGAACUUCCAUUGAAAGUACUAAAUCAUCCAGAACUGAUCCAUGUAUAGCAUAGGAUCUAUAGUAGAAGCAAGAUGCUAAGAGACUGAAAAGUUAAGAUCAGAGAAACUAGAAUAAUUAACACAUAGCACAAUAAAGGAACUAAAGCACCUAAAAUGUUAACAAUCCAACUCUACUUGAGAAAAAAUUCAAUCAAUACUACUGAAAAAAAGGUAAAAAACUAAACAUACAAUUAACUCAAUCCUUCACACAUUAAAAGAAAAUAUACAGGGAACAAGCCUGCACCUCAAUGAAGUACAAAUAUUUUGUUUAUAGAAAUCACAUAACACCAUUAGUCAAAAAGUAUUAAACAACUAAAGUCUAAGGUACAAUCGAACUAAUUAUGCAUAAGAAAAAUCUAAGAACACUAGAACACCUAUGGUUUUGCUCAUUUGUAGGUUGUCUAUGUGCAAGUUCAGCAAUAGAAACUAAGAGAGAUGUAUCAAACUUGUAAUUAUACAUAAGAAGCAACUAAGAACAAUAGAACACCUCUGAUUUUUCUCAUUUUUAGCUUGUCUAUGAGCAAGUUCAGAAACAGAUAUUAAGAGAGACAAAUUAAGCUUGUAAUUAUACAUAAAAAGCAACUAAGAACAGAUCCCAUAAAUUUCAAAGAACAUUUGUAAAGUUUAAGCUAAAAUUGCAAAAUUUUCCACUAUACAUAUGCAGAUUUCCCUUAGAAUAGAUCCCAUAAAUUUCAAAGAGAACAAAAAUAGCAAGAAAUCAUAAAAAGUGAAAAAGAUUUACGAAAAUAACUAAACCUGAUGUGGGUUACCUUCGUCUCUUAAGGAUAUCAAAGAAGGAAAAAGAAGUAAUAGAGUCCAAAAAGAAAAUUACCUCAAGAACUUUAAAAGCAUCAGCUGCAGAUAUCCCGACCACCAUGAGAUUGAUUUGGAUUUGGCUAGGGCUUCUGGGAUUAUUUCUCAAUAUAUCCCCAUCUUAGUUGUCUUUUUCUUGUUAAAUUAAAGAACGAAGGAGAGAAGAAUACAAG
Molecule: long non-coding RNA, 2201 nt
Filed under: Solanum tuberosum (potato)
Lineage: Eukaryota; Viridiplantae; Streptophyta; Magnoliopsida; Solanales; Solanaceae
Description: long non-coding RNA (STUB_LNC000700)
Source: RNAcentral